Molecule: long non-coding RNA, 1109 nt
Organism: Stegostoma tigrinum
Lineage: Eukaryota; Metazoa; Chordata; Chondrichthyes; Orectolobiformes; Stegostomatidae
Exons: 2
Source: RefSeq, a predicted model, not a curated record
ACGGUCAACGGACAGUGCCCCGGGUUCCAGCUGUGCUCUGCGAUCGCUCCUCUUAAAGGAUGCAGAACCCUGCAGUGUGCUGUGAAUCCGGCUCAAAGUCGGACCUUUCCCCAAUAAAAGGGGAGCAAGCUACACGGACAAAAAAGUUGAAGUUGACAGUGCCCGUGCCCAUUAGUCUGGAAUGCGCGGUGCUGUUCGGUGUUAACAAAGUAAAACUGUAGUUGCUGGAAAAGCUCAAGACGUCUGGCAGCAUCUGUGAAGAAACAAAAAAAAAAUCAGUUAACGUUUCGGGUCCGGUGACCCUUCCUCGGAGGAGGGCUGUAGGGCGCGUCGUCUCACCUGCCUCUCUAGGGAAAGUUUUUAAAAAAACUCUUGGUCCAAAUCAAAGAUGGCGCUUUGAUUUAGGUUAUUGGACCCAGGGAUAUUGUGAAAUCCUUCUACUGAUUGAUGUAACGAGAAACUGCAGCUUGUGACAUUGUGGGGAAGCCAGAAUGGUGUCGACGUGCUGCAGCAGUGGCAGUGAAGACUCCUGACUGCAGUAGGCCCAGAGCCUGGACUUGGUGGGUCUUUGGCUGUGGUGGUGCUGGGUGCCUGGAGCAGGGCUGCAGUAGGCUCAAAGCCUGGACUCGGGAACUUGUCGGGUUGUUGGCAGUGGGGCGGUGACACCCGGCAGAGGAUUACUGGCUGUGGUAGGCCUGCAGCAUGGAUUUGGGGGACUUUGGCUGUGGUCGAGGCAGUGCCUGGAGCUAGGAGUCCUGGCUGCGGGUCCUUGCGGAAACCUUGGAAAAGCCCUCCUACUUAUGUUUGUACACCCCUUGAUCAGAAGAUUAGCUAUAUUUAUGUAAUUUCUCUUUUAUUCCUUUUCUAAUCUGGAGGCCAGGUGCCAGCAUGAAUUGGGAUGGAAGGACUGUAAUUCAGAACAUUUUAUUCCUUUAUUUUUCUAUUUUAUUCCUAUGAUUUUUGAGCUUUUGCGAUUUAUUCCUAGGAAUCUGGACUUUAGAAUCUGUAUCUAGGUACCUUGACCUUAGUUGGUGCCUUAAGUGGCGACCUGUAAACUUUUCAUUGGACUCAUGUGAGUAUAUGUGACAAUAAAGCUAAUUCUAAUUCUC